GACUGAGACACGGCCCAGACUCCUACGGGAGGCUGCAGCAGGGAAUAUUGCGCAAUGAGCGAAAGCUUGACGCAGCGACACCGCGUGUGGGAUGACGGAUCUAGGUUUGUAAACCACUUUCAGGAGGGAAGAAAAUGACGGUACCUCCACAAGAAGCCCCGGCCAACUACGUGCCAGCAGCCGCGGUAAUACGUAGGGGGCGAGCGUUGUCCGGAUUUAUUGGGCGUAAAGAGCUCGUAGGCGGUUCAACAAGUCGGUCGUGAAAGUUCAGGGCUCAACCCUGAAAUGUCGAUCGAUACUGUUGUGACUAGGAUACGGUAGAGGUGAGUGGAAUUCCGAGUGUAGCGGUGAAAUGCGUAGAUAUUCGGAGGAACACCAAUUGCGAAGGCAGCUCACUGGGCCGCUAUCGACGCUGAGGAGCGAAAGCUAGGGGAGCAAACAGGAUUAGAUACCCUGGUAGUCCUAGCUGUAAACGAUGGAUACUAGACGUAGGAAUUGGAUUAACGAUUUCUGUGUCGUAGCUAACGCGUUAAGUAUCCCGCCUGGGGAGUACGGUCGCAAGACUAAAACUCAAAGGAAUUGACGGGACCCCGCACAAGCGGCGGAGCAUGCGGCUUAAUUCGAUGAUACCCGUAGAACCUUACCUGGACUUGACAUAUAGGGAAAAGUUAUAGAAAUAUAAUGUGCAUUAGCGCCCUAUACAGGUGGUGCAUGGCUGUCGUCAGCUCGUGUCGUGAGAUGUUGGGUUAAGUCUCGCAACGAGCGCAACCCCUGUCCUAUGUUGCCAGCAAGUAAUGUUGGGGACUCAUAGGAGACUGCCGGUGAUAAACCGGAGGAAGGUGGGGACGACGUCAAGUCAUCAUGCCCCUUAUGUCCAGGGCUGCACGCAUGCUACAAUGGCAAGUACAACGAGUCGCAAUACCGCGAGGUGGAGCAAAUCUCUUAAAGCUUGUCUCAGUUCGGAUAGGAGUCUGCAACUCGACUCCUUGAAGUUGGAGUCGCUAGUAAUCGCAAAUCAGCAAAGUUGCGGUGAAUACGUUCUCGGGGUUUGUACACACCGCCCGUCAAGUCACGGAAGUCGGCAAUACCCGAAGCCAGUGGUCCAACCCUUUUGGGAGGAAGCUGUCGAAGGUAGGGUCGGUAACUGGGACUAAGUCGUAACAAGGUAACC
Molecule: ribosomal RNA, 1171 nt
Filed under: uncultured bacterium
Lineage: Bacteria
Description: bacterial SSU rRNA
Rfam family: Bacterial small subunit ribosomal RNA
Source: RNAcentral